GGGGACUUAGCUCAGCGGUAGAGCGCUUGCCUAGCAAGUGCAAGGCCCUGGGUUCGGUCCCCAGCUCCG
Rattus norvegicus (Norway rat) is the source of this 69-nucleotide non-coding RNA. Lineage: Eukaryota; Metazoa; Chordata; Mammalia; Rodentia; Muridae. The record is from Rfam.